CCAAUGCAUCAGGGAGCACAAAAAUGAUAUAAAGCAAGCGAAGUUGACAAUGGCCCUCGCCAUCAGUGCGUACGAAUCAGACUUAACCAUUCACUGGGAGGAGGCAAAAGUAAUAAAACGGGUAAAUAACCCCUCACAGGGCUUCAACACUGAGACACUGGAGAUCCUCAAGCGCCAAAAUAGAGAGACCCUAUUAAAUGAGAAUCCCACCACUAAGCUACCAGAUGCGUGGAAAUACAUCUUACAGUGCUCGAAGACGGCUCGUACGAACACCGGAUUUAGCCACAACACCGUUAAACCGACCCGACCUGGCUGACCGUGACCU
Molecule: long non-coding RNA, 325 nt
Filed under: Androctonus crassicauda
Lineage: Eukaryota; Metazoa; Arthropoda; Arachnida; Scorpiones; Buthidae
Source: RNAcentral